UUCACACUGCCGAGAAAAGCCUCUAGAUAGAAAAUAGGUGCCCGUACCGCAAACCGACACAGGUAGUCAAGAUGAGAAUUCUAAGGUGAGCGAGCGAACUCUCGUUAAGGAACUCGGCAAAAUGACCCCGUAACUUCGGGAGAAGGGGUGCUCUUUAGGGUUAACGCCCAGAAGAGCCGCAGUGAAUAGGCCCAAGCGACUGUUUAUCAAAAACACAGGUCUCUGCUAAACCGUAAGGUGAUGUAUAGGGGCUGACGCCUGCCCGGUGCUGGAAGGUUAAGAGGAGUGGUUAGCUUCUGCGAAGCUACGAAUCGAAGCCCCAGUAAACGGCGGCCGUAACUAUAACGGUCCUAAGGUAGCGAAAUUCCUUGUCGGGUAAGUUCCGACCCGCACGAAAGGCGUAACGAUUUGGGCACUGUCUCAACGAGAGACUCGGUGAAAUCAUAGUACCUGUGAAGAUGCAGGUUACCCGCGACAGGACGGAAAGACCCCGUGGAGCUUUACUGUAGCCUGAUAUUGAAAUUCGGCACAGCUUGUACAGGAUAGGUAGGAGCCUUUGAAACGUGAGCGCUAGCUUACGUGGAGGCGCUGGUGGGAUACUACCCUAGCUGUGUUGGCUUUCUAACCCGCACCACUUAUCGUGGUGGGAGACAGUGUCAGGCGGGCAGUUUGACUGGGGCGGUCGCCUCCUAAAAGGUAACGGAGGCGCUCAAAGGUUCCCUCAGAAUGGUUGGAAAUCAUUCAUAGAGUGUAAAGGCAUAAGGGAGCUUGACUGCGAGACCUACAAGUCGAGCAGGGUCGAAAGACGGACUUAGUGAUCCGGUGGUUCCGCAUGGAAGGGCCAUCGCUCAACGGAUAAAAGCUACCCCGGGGAUAACAGGCUUAUCUCCCCCAAGAGUUCACAUCGACGGGGAGGUUUGGCACCUCGAUGUCGGCUCAUCGCAUCCUGGGGCUGUAGUCGGUCCCAAGGGUUGGGCUGUUCGCCCAUUAAAGCGGUACGCGAGCUGGGUUCAGAACGUCGUGAGACAGUUCGGUCCCUAUCCGUCGUGGGCGUAGGAAAUUUGAGAGGAGCUGUCCUUAGUACGAGAGGACCGGGAUGGACAUACCUCUGGUGUACCAGUUGUCGUGCCAACGGCAUAGCUGGGUAGCUAUGUGUGGACGGGAUAAGUGCUGAAAGCAUCUAAGCAUGAAGCCCCCCUCAAGAUGAGAUUUCCCAACUUCGGUUAUAAGAUCCCUCAAAGAUGAUGAGGUUAAUAGGUUCGAGGUGGAAGCAUGGUGACAUGUGGAGCUGACGAAUACUAAUCGAUCGAAGACUUAAUCAA
RNAcentral lists this ribosomal RNA (1322 nucleotides) under Staphylococcus aureus. RNAcentral describes it as "partial 23S ribosomal RNA". It matches the Rfam family "Bacterial large subunit ribosomal RNA", at positions 1599 to 2925 of the family's 2925-position model. Lineage: Bacteria; Bacillati; Bacillota; Bacilli; Caryophanales; Staphylococcaceae. The record is from RNAcentral.